GGUGCUGCUGUCCUCAUCCUCACCAACCUGCUGCUAGGCCGCAGGCUCCGCCCUGAGUCAACGGCGUUUGGGCCAGGCUCAGGCUGUAGUGUGCCGGGCUGGGGGGCCUCGGCGAGCUUAGGCCGGGAGAGGGAAGCUGGACCCGGCGGCCACUCUCACAACCGGCCCGCCCUCGUUUCGCCCUGCUCUAGGCACGCGAAGAGAAAGAACACCCCCACUGGCUGCCCAAAGAACCAUGAGGUACAAAUUGAAGUUAUGAUUUCUGCUCUGAGAACUCUCCAGCUGCCUAUCUGGUCUGAGAAAGUGCCACUAYCUGUCCCCUGGACUGAAAUUCUUCAGUUACGUCCUUGUUUUCCCAGAAAGAAGGUUUCAAAGCAUUUCUGGCUUAUUCUCAACCAUUUCUGAUAUCAGCAGCAACUUCUGAAAGGCCAUCUCUCUUCUGCCUACCAUUCUCCAACAAUUGCCUUUGUGCCCAAAGAACCAACUGUAGGGGUUGCAGCCCAUCU
Molecule: long non-coding RNA, 506 nt
Organism: Urocitellus parryii (Arctic ground squirrel)
Lineage: Eukaryota; Metazoa; Chordata; Mammalia; Rodentia; Sciuridae
Source: RefSeq, a predicted model, not a curated record